Molecule: ribosomal RNA, 253 nt
Filed under: uncultured bacterium
Lineage: Bacteria
Description: partial 16S ribosomal RNA
Rfam family: Bacterial small subunit ribosomal RNA
Source: RNAcentral
UACAGAGGUCGCAAGCGUUGGUCGGAUUCAUUGGGCGUAAAGGGUGUGUAGGCGGCGCGGUAAGUCGGGUGUGAAAUCUCGGAGCUUAACUCCGAAACUGCAUUCGAUACUGCCGUGCUUGAGGACUGGAGAGGAGACUGGAAUUUACGGUGUAGCGGUGAAAUGCGUAGAUAUCGUAAGGAAGACCAGUGGCGAAGGCGGGUCUCUGGACAGUUCCUGACGCUGAGGAGCGAAAGCGUGGGGAGCGAACAGG